RNAcentral lists this long non-coding RNA (686 nucleotides) under Arabidopsis lyrata. Its description in RNAcentral is "long non-coding RNA (ALYR_LNC002065)". The record is from RNAcentral. Lineage: Eukaryota; Viridiplantae; Streptophyta; Magnoliopsida; Brassicales; Brassicaceae.
UUCCAAAUAACAAAACACAAAGAAAAAACAUGGGAAAUGUAAUGGGAAAAAACACAAAGAUUCCUCCUUUGGUAAAGACUGGCUUGAAAAUGGGCUCCUGUGCAGCUCCUGUGCAUUGAUUGCUUACUAUGUGUUCAAGAAGCUUGGAGUGCCGGUAGAGCUCCGUAUUGGUGUGGGAAGGGAAGGAGGACGUCCAAGAGGUGUUGGGAUUUGGAGUUCUGAAGCCAAAUCGGUAAUAAAAGAGGUUGAGAUUGUUAUUGUUGACUAAAAGGUCUUGUCUUUUAAUUAUGGGUCUGUAAUAAGUAGUGUAAUGUGUCAUGUGCUCUAAUCGCUUACUAUGUUCUCAAAAAGCUUGGAGUGCAUGUAGGGUUCCGUAUUGGCGUGGGAAGGGAAGGAGGAGGUCCAGGUGUUGUGAUUUGGAGUUCGGAAGCCAAAUCGGUAAUGAAAGAGGUUGAGAUAGUGAUUGUUGACUAAUGAUUUUUAAAAAAGUCUUAUCUUUUAAUUAUGGGUCUGUAAUAAUUAAGUAGUGUAACGUGUCAUCUUCUCUUUUAGUUUGUCCUUUGUCUUUGUAACAAGUCAAGUUUAUGGUCAUGUUAGUCUUCUUGUUAUCUAAAAGACUUAAAGUCGGUUGAUGAAAAAAAAAAAAAAAAAAAGACUUAAAGUCGGUUUGGUCUAGUUAACUCUUA